RNAcentral lists this ribosomal RNA (450 nucleotides) under uncultured bacterium. RNAcentral describes it as "bacterial SSU rRNA". It matches the Rfam family "Bacterial small subunit ribosomal RNA", at positions 8 to 458 of the family's 1533-position model. The record is from RNAcentral.
AGAGUUUGAUCCUGGCUCAGAUUGAACGCUGGCGGCAUGCUUUACACAUGCAAGUCGAACGGCAGCACGGGUGCUUGCACCUGGUGGCGAGUGGCGAACGGGUGAGUAAUGCACCGGAACGUACCCAGUAAUGGGGGAUAACACAUCGAAAAAUGUGCUAAUACCGCAUACGCCCUGAGGGGGAAAGCGGGGGAUCGUAAGACCUCGCGUUAUUGGAGCGGCCGAUGCCGGAUUAGCUAGUUGGUGAGGUAAGAGCUCACCAAGGCGACGAUCCGUAGCUGGUCUGAGAGGACGACCAGCCACACUGGGACUGAGACACGGCCCAGACUCCUACGGGAGGCAGCAGUGGGGAAUUUUGGACAAUGGGCGCAAGCCUGAUCCAGCCAUGCCGCGUGAGUGAAGAAGGCCUUCGGGUUGUAAAGCUCUUUCGCAAGGAAAGAAAACUUAUCU